This 484-nucleotide ribosomal RNA is filed under the name uncultured bacterium. RNAcentral's name for it is "partial 16S ribosomal RNA". It matches the Rfam family "Bacterial small subunit ribosomal RNA", at positions 30 to 507 of the family's 1533-position model. The record is from RNAcentral.
AUUGAACGCUAGCGGGAUGCUUUACACAUGCAAGUCGAACGGCAGCGCGGACUUCGGUCUGGCGGCGAGUGGCGAACGGGUGAGUAAUGUAUCGGAACGUGCCCAGUAGCGGGGGAUAACUACGCGAAAGCGUAGCUAAUACCGCAUACGCCCUACGGGGGAAAGCAGGGGAUCGUAAGACCUUGCACUAUUGGAGCGGCCGAUAUCGGAUUAGCUAGUUGGUGAGGUAACGGCUCACCAAGGCGACGAUCCGUAGCUGGUUUGAGAGGACGACCAGCCACACUGGGACUGAGACACGGCCCAGACUCCUACGGGAGGCAGCAGUGGGGAAUUUUGGACAAUGGGGGCAACCAUGAUCCAGCCAUCCCGCGUGUGCGAUGAAGGCCUUCGGGUUGUAAAGCACUUUUGGCAGGAAAGAAACGUCGCGGGCUAAUACCCCGUGGAACUGACGGUACCUGCAGAAUAAGCACCGGCUAACUACGUG